Molecule: transfer RNA, 69 nt
Filed under: Ictidomys tridecemlineatus (thirteen-lined ground squirrel)
Lineage: Eukaryota; Metazoa; Chordata; Mammalia; Rodentia; Sciuridae
Description: Spermophilus tridecemlineatus (thirteen-lined ground squirrel) tRNA
Rfam family: tRNA
About the family: Transfer RNA (tRNA) molecules are approximately 80 nucleotides in length. Their secondary structure includes four short double-helical elements and three loops (D, anti-codon, and T loops). Further hydrogen bonds mediate the characteristic L-shaped molecular structure. tRNAs have two regions of fundamental functional importance: the anti-codon, which is responsible for specific mRNA codon recognition, and the 3' end, to which the tRNAs corresponding amino acid is attached (by aminoacyl-tRNA synthetases). tRNAs cope with the degeneracy of the genetic code in two manners: having more than one tRNA (with a specific anti-codon) for a particular amino acid; and 'wobble' base-pairing, i.e. permitting non-standard base-pairing at the 3rd anti-codon position.
Source: Rfam by way of RNAcentral
GGGGCUGUAGCUCAGUGGUAGAGCACUUGCCUAGCAUGUGUGAAGCACUGGGUUCAAUCCUCAGCGCCA